This 253-nucleotide ribosomal RNA is filed under the name uncultured bacterium. RNAcentral describes it as "partial 16S ribosomal RNA". It matches the Rfam family "Bacterial small subunit ribosomal RNA", at positions 524 to 776 of the family's 1533-position model. The record is from RNAcentral.
UACAGAGGUCCCAAGCGUUGUUCGGAUUCACUGGGCGUAAAGGGUGCGUAGGUGGCGAGGUAAGUCGGAUGUGAAAGCUCGGAGCUCAACUCCGAAAUGGCAUUGGAAACUACCUUGCUAGAGGGUCGAAGGGGGGACUGGAAUUCUUGGUGUAGCAGUGAAAUGCGUAGAUAUCAAGAGGAACACCAGUGGCGAAGGCGAGUCCCUGGACGACUCCUGACACUGAGGCACGAAAGCUAGGGGAGCAAACAGG